RNAcentral lists this ribosomal RNA (497 nucleotides) under uncultured bacterium. RNAcentral's name for it is "partial 16S ribosomal RNA". It matches the Rfam family "Bacterial small subunit ribosomal RNA", at positions 28 to 507 of the family's 1533-position model. The record is from RNAcentral.
GACGAACGCUGGCGGCGUGCCUAAUACAUGCAAGUUGAGCGCUGAAGGUUGGUACUUGUACCAACUGGAUGAGCAGCGAACGGGUGAGUAACGCGUGUGGAAUCUGCCUUUGAGCGGGGGACAACAUUUGGAAACGAAUGCUAAUACCGCAUAAAAACUUUAAACACAAUUUUUAAUUUUGAAAUAUUCAAUUGCAUCACUCAAAGAUUAUCCCGCGUUGUAUUAGCUAGUUGGUGAGGUAAAGGCUCACCAAGGCGAUGAUACAUAGCCGACCUGAGAGGGUGAUCGGCCACAUUGGGACUGAGACACGGCACAAACUCCUACGGGAGGCAGCAGUAGGGAAUCUUGGGCAAUGGACGAAAGUCUGACCGAGCAAAGCCGCGUGAGUGAAGAAGGUUUUCGGAUCGUAAAACUCUGUUGGUAGAGAAGAAAGUUGGUGAGAGUGGAAAGCUCAUCAAGUGACGGUAACUACCCAGAAAGGGACGGCUAACUACGUG